CCUGUGACCACAGUAUGUAUACAGAAGAUCACCAUCCAGUACCCAAGUUUAUUCAGGUUUUGGAAACAACAAAUCCAUGAACACUAUUGCAGGAUUCUUCUUACUUGACACAAUGUAGCCUCAUGUAGUAAUGAGCAUUCAUCUCUUUCCAAUCAAGGUGAGAAAAUAAACUACAACUUCAGAGCUUAACUGAAUUUUUAAUGAGAGCAGACAUCUAACACAAGGCAAUGAAAACAGACGCAUGUAUGAAACAGCAUAUGCAAUCUGCAUAACUAUCAGAGAAAGAAAAUAAUAUAGACACAAGAUGAAACUCAUAAAUACAGGAGGAUCACAAGAACACUAACAUCUGUGGAAAAAAGAACUGUUGAAAAUCUCAUGUACAAGAGAUGAAGCAUAUGUACAUGUUCAUCG
This 411-nucleotide long non-coding RNA is filed under the name Brachypodium distachyon (stiff brome). RNAcentral's name for it is "long non-coding RNA (BDIS_LNC003039)". Lineage: Eukaryota; Viridiplantae; Streptophyta; Magnoliopsida; Poales; Poaceae. The record is from RNAcentral.